This 1595-nucleotide long non-coding RNA is filed under the name Homo sapiens (human). RNAcentral describes it as "maternally expressed 3 (MEG3)". The stretch from base 536 to 640 matches the Rfam family "Maternally expressed 3 conserved region 2". Lineage: Eukaryota; Metazoa; Chordata; Mammalia; Primates; Hominidae. The record is from RNAcentral.
AGCCCCUAGCGCAGACGGCGGAGAGCAGAGAGGGAGCGCGCCUUGGCUCGCUGGCCUUGGCGGCGGCUCCUCAGGAGAGCUGGGGCGCCCACGAGAGGAUCCCUCACCCGGGUCUCUCCUCAGGGAUGACAUCAUCCGUCCACCUCCUUGUCUUCAAGGACCACCUCCUCUCCAUGCUGAGCUGCUGCCAAGGGGCCUGCUGCCCAUCUACACCUCACGAGGGCACUAGGAGCACGGUUUCCUGGAUCCCACCAACAUACAAAGCAGCCACUCACUGACCCCCAGGACCAGGAUGGCAAAGGAUGAAGAGGACCGGAACUGACCAGCCAGCUGUCCCUCUUACCUAAAGACUUAAACCAAUGCCCUAGUGAGGGGGCAUUGGGCAUUAAGCCCUGACCUUUGCUAUGCUCAUACUUUGACUCUAUGAGUACUUUCCUAUAAGUCUUUGCUUGUGUUCACCUGCUAGCAAACUGGAGUGUUUCCCUCCCCAAGGGGGUGUCAGUCUUUGUCGACUGACUCUGUCAUCACCCUUAUGAUGUCCUGAAUGGAAGGAUCCCUUUGGGAAAUUCUCAGGAGGGGGACCUGGGCCAAGGGCUUGGCCAGCAUCCUGCUGGCAACUCCAAGGCCCUGGGUGGGCUUCUGGAAUGAGCAUGCUACUGAAUCACCAAAGGCACGCCCGACCUCUCUGAAGAUCUUCCUAUCCUUUUCUGGGGGAAUGGGGUCGAUGAGAGCAACCUCCUAGGGUUGUUGUGAGAAUUAAAUGAGAUAAAAGAGGCCUCAGGCAGGAUCUGGCAUAGAGGAGGUGAUCAGCAAAUGUUUGUUGAAAAGGUUUGACAGGUCAGUCCCUUCCCACCCCUCUUGCUUGUCUUACUUGUCUUAUUUAUUCUCCAACAGCACUCCAGGCAGCCCUUGUCCACGGGCUCUCCUUGCAUCAGCCAAGCUUCUUGAAAGGCCUGUCUACACUUGCUGUCUUCCUUCCUCACCUCCAAUUUCCUCUUCAACCCACUGCUUCCUGACUCGCUCUACUCCGUGGAAGCACGCUCACAAAGGCACGUGGGCCGUGGCCCGGCUGGGUCGGCUGAAGAACUGCGGAUGGAAGCUGCGGAAGAGGCCCUGAUGGGGCCCACCAUCCCGGACCCAAGUCUUCUUCCUGGCGGGCCUCUCGUCUCCUUCCUGGUUUGGGCGGAAGCCAUCACCUGGAUGCCUACGUGGGAAGGGACCUCGAAUGUGGGACCCCAGCCCCUCUCCAGCUCGAAAUCCCUCCACAGCCACGGGGACACCCUGCACCUAUUCCCACGGGACAGGCUGGACCCAGAGACUCUGGACCCGGGGCCUCCCCUUGAGUAGAGACCCGCCCUCUGACUGAUGGACGCCGCUGACCUGGGGUCAGACCCGUGGGCUGGACCCCUGCCCACCCCGCAGGAACCCUGAGGCCUAGGGGAGCUGUUGAGCCUUCAGUGUCUGCAUGUGGGAAGUGGGCUCCUUCACCUACCUCACAGGGCUGUUGUGAGGGGCGCUGUGAUGCGGUUCCAAAGCACAGGGCUUGGCGCACCCCACUGUGCUCUCAAUAAAUGUGUUUCCUGUCUUAACAAAAA